UGUCGAAUUAUGUAGAAUGAAAACUUCGCAAAGCUACAGGUCUAAGGUUCCAUGAACUAAGAUGGCUGAGUUACCAAG
RNAcentral lists this non-coding RNA (78 nucleotides) under Brevibacillus panacihumi. RNAcentral describes it as "c-di-GMP sequence". It matches the Rfam family "c-di-GMP-I riboswitch aptamer". From Rfam's summary of the family: GEMM was predicted in a large-scale screen for bacterial structured RNA regulatory elements. Genes associated with GEMM are involved in a diverse array of functions, including chemotaxis regulation, signal transduction, secretion and chitin. Lineage: Bacteria; Bacillati; Bacillota; Bacilli; Caryophanales; Paenibacillaceae. The record is from RNAcentral. RNAcentral also lists the same sequence under 1 other name.